AGAGUUGAUCAUGGCUCAGGAUGAACGCUAGCUACAGGCUUAACACAUGCAAGUCGAGGGGCAGCAUUUCAGUUUGCUUGCAAACUGGAGAUGGCGACCGGCGCACGGGUGAGUAACACGUAUCCAACCUGCCGAUAACUCGGGGAUAGCCUUUCGAAAGAAAGAUUAAUACCCGAUGGUAUAAUCAGACCGCAUGGUCUUGUUAUUAAAGAAUUUCGGUUAUCGAUGGGGAUGCGUUCCAUUAGGCAGUUGGUGAGGUAACGGCUCACCAAACCUUCGAUGGAUAGGGGUUCUGAGAGGAAGGUCCCCCACAUUGGAACUGAGACACGGUCCAAACUCCUACGGGAGGCAGCA
RNAcentral lists this ribosomal RNA (354 nucleotides) under uncultured bacterium. Its description in RNAcentral is "bacterial SSU rRNA". It matches the Rfam family "Bacterial small subunit ribosomal RNA", at positions 8 to 353 of the family's 1533-position model. The record is from RNAcentral.